This 184-nucleotide small RNA is filed under the name Aureoumbra lagunensis. RNAcentral describes it as "partial transfer-messenger RNA". Lineage: Eukaryota; Pelagophyceae; Sarcinochrysidales; Sarcinochrysidaceae. The record is from RNAcentral.
GGUUCUUUUUUAGCGCCUAACAUUUAUAUUUUUCUUGUCUGAAUUUCCACUUAUUUUGCUUUCUUUCUCAUAUUCCUCCUGUCAUAUUUUAUUUUACUUUUACUACAUUGAAUAUUACACUAAAUGUGGUGAUGUAUGUUCUUCAUCUUCAUGAAGUAGUGUUUCAACUAUCACAUGCAUUCUC